RNAcentral lists this ribosomal RNA (253 nucleotides) under uncultured bacterium. RNAcentral's name for it is "partial 16S ribosomal RNA". It matches the Rfam family "Bacterial small subunit ribosomal RNA", at positions 524 to 776 of the family's 1533-position model. The record is from RNAcentral.
UACGUAGGGCGCAAGCGUUGUCCGGAAUUAUUGGGCGUAAAGAGCUCGUAGGUGGCUUGUCACGUCGGGUGUGAAAGCCCGGGGCUUAACCCCGGGUCUGCAUUCGAUACGGGCUGGCUAGAGUGUGGUAGGGGAGAUCGGAAUUCCUGGUGUAGCGGUGAAAUGCGCAGAUAUCAGGAGGAACACCGAUGGCGAAGGCAGGUCUCUGGGCCACUACUGACGCUGAGAAGCGAAAGCAUGGGGAGCGAACAGG